GAUGAACGCUGGCGGCGUGCCUAAUACAUGCAAGUCGAGCGAACAGAUGAGGAGCUUGCUCCUCUGACGUUAGCGGCGGACGGGUGAGUAACACGUGGAUAACCUACCUAUAAGACUGGGAUAACUUCGGGACACCGGAGCUAAUACCGGAUAAUAUAUUGAACCGCAUGGUUCAAUAGUGAAAGACGGUUUUGCUGUCACUUCUAGAUGGAUCCGCGCCGCAUUAGCUAGUUGGUAAGGUAACGGCUUACCAAGGCAACGAUGCGUAGCCGACCUGAGAGGGUGAUCGGCCACACUGGAACUGAGACACGGUCCAGACUCCUACGGGAGGCAGCAGUAGGGAAUCUUCCGCAAUGGGCAAAAGCCUGACGGAGCAACGGCGCGUGAGUGAUGAAGGUCUUCGGAUCGUAAAACUCUGUUAUUAGGGAAGAACAAAUGUGUAAGUAACUAUGCACGUCUUGACGGUACCUAAUCAGAAAGCCACGGCUAACUACGUG
RNAcentral lists this ribosomal RNA (497 nucleotides) under uncultured bacterium. Its description in RNAcentral is "partial 16S ribosomal RNA". It matches the Rfam family "Bacterial small subunit ribosomal RNA", at positions 28 to 507 of the family's 1533-position model. The record is from RNAcentral.